This 691-nucleotide ribosomal RNA is filed under the name Clostridioides difficile. Its description in RNAcentral is "bacterial LSU rRNA". It matches the Rfam family "Bacterial large subunit ribosomal RNA", at positions 834 to 1531 of the family's 2925-position model. Lineage: Bacteria; Bacillati; Bacillota; Clostridia; Peptostreptococcales; Peptostreptococcaceae. The record is from RNAcentral.
CGAGCCCGGAGAUAGCUGGUUCUCCCCGAAAUAGCUUUAGGGCUAGCCUCAAGGUGAGAGAUACGGAGGUAGAGCACUGAAUGUCCUAGGGGGUAUUGCACCUACCGAAGACUAUCAAACUCCGAAUGCCGUCAUCUUAUACUUGGGAGUCAGACUGUGGGUGAUAAGAUUCAUAGUCGAAAGGGCAACAGCCCAGAUCGUCAGCUAAGGUCCCUAAAUGUAAGUUAAGUGGUAAAGGAUGUGGGAUUGCACAGACAACCAGGAUGUUGGCUUAGAAGCAGCCACUCAUUCAAAGAGUGCGUAAUAGCUCACUGGUCGAGUGAUCCUGCGCCGAAGAUUUCCGGGGCUAAAACUUACUACCGAAGCUACGGCAUCAGUAAUGAUGGGUAGGGGAGCUUCCCAUACGGGUUGAAGCAUGACCGUAAGGACAUGUGGACAGUAUGGGAGUGAGAAUGUUGGCAUGAGUAGCGAGAUGUGGGUGAGAAUCCCACAGGCCGUAAACCCAAGGUUUCCAGGGGAAGGUUCGUCCGCCCUGGGUUAGUCGGGACCUAAGCUGAGGCCGAAAGGCGUAGGUGAUGGACAACAGGUUGAUAUUCCUGUACUACCGAUAACCGUUUGAGAGAAGGGAUGACACAGUAGGAUAAGCUAAGCACACUGUUGGUUAUGUGUGCCCAAGCAUUGAGGCAGGCAA